Molecule: ribosomal RNA, 460 nt
Filed under: uncultured bacterium
Lineage: Bacteria
Description: partial 16S ribosomal RNA
Rfam family: Bacterial small subunit ribosomal RNA
Source: RNAcentral
CCUACGGGAGGCAGCAGUGAGGAAUAUUGGUCAAUGGACGAGAGUCUGAACCAGCCAAGUAGCGUGAAGGAUGACUGCCCUAUGGGUUGUAAACUUCUUUUAUAUGGGAAUAAAACGUUCCACGUGUGGGAUUUUGUAUGUACCAUAUGAAUAAUGAUCGGCUAACUCCGUGCCAGCAGCCGCGGUAAUACGGAGGAUCCGAGCGUUAUCCGGAUUUAUUGGGUUUAAAGGGAGCGUAGGUGGAUUGUUAAGUCAGUUGUGAAAGUUUGCGGCUCAACCGUAAAAUUGCAGUUGAAACUGGCAGUCUUGAGUACAGUAGAGGUGGGCGGAAUUCGUGGUGUAGCGGUGAAAUGCUUAGAUAUCACGAAGAACUCCGAUUGCGAAGGCAGUUCACUGGACUGCAACUGACACUGAGGCUCGAAAGUGUGGGUAUCAAACAGGAUUAGAUACCCGUGUAGUC